GAUGAAGGACGUAGUGAAAUGCGAUAAGUAGUGUGAAUUGCAGAAUUCAGUGAAUCAUCGAAUCUUUGAACGCACAUUGCGCCCUUUGGUAUUCCAAAGGGCAUGCCUGUUCGAGCGUCAUUUGUACCCUCAAGCUUUGCUUGGUGUUGGGCGUCUUGUCUCUAGCUUUGCUGGAGACUCGCCUUAAAGUAAUUGGCAGCCGGCCUACUGGUUUCGGAGCGCAGCACAAGUCGCACUCUCUAUCAGCAAAGGUCUAGCAUCCAUUAAGCCUUUUUUUCAACUUUUGACCUCGGAUCAGGUAGGGAUACCCGCUGAACUUAAGCAUAUCAAUAAGCGGAGGA
Molecule: unclassified non-coding RNA, 341 nt
Filed under: soil metagenome
Description: partial contains 5.8S ribosomal RNA, internal transcribed spacer 2, and large subunit ribosomal RNA
Rfam family: 5.8S ribosomal RNA (bases 1-120)
Source: RNAcentral